CUCAACCUCCUACAAAGAUGUG
This 22-nucleotide non-coding RNA is filed under the name Rattus norvegicus (Norway rat). Lineage: Eukaryota; Metazoa; Chordata; Mammalia; Rodentia; Muridae. The record is from RNAcentral.